AAUUAAUAUAAUUUUUCCCAAUAAAUCUUAAGAAAAAAUUUGAAAUUAUAUUCAAGUAAAUAGUGUUGUCGAUUUAGAGCUGAUUUGGUGGACCAUUUGAUGCCCCAAAUCAACGUUAAACUCAUGCAAUCUAUUAGCACUUAUCUCACUAAUGGAUUGACGGAUAUUUAUUGAACAAUGAUGAAUGAAAAAUAUCAAAUGAUCCUAUUUUAGAAAAACAAGUGUUUGCAAAUUAACGGUGAAAAUCAUUUAAAUAAUUUAAUUUUGGAAUUGUGACAUGGCAACAAUAGUGCCAUAAUUUAAUUUAUUAAUUUCGAAUUAAUGUAUGCCUCAUGGACAAUUUUUACGGCCAUGUACAUAGGGCCCACUACGAUGUAUGUAUUGUAUAUCCAUGUUGUCCAUCAUUUUUGCCAACUCAUUUUAGGGCAUGGUCCAAAAAACGAGGCAAAUCCAAAUCUUUGGUGGACCACAUAGUAGGGAUUGAAUUCCCACAAUUAAAACUUAUUAUGAUUGUUAUUAUUAUUAUUAUUAUUAUAUAUAUUUUUUUAUUUUUAAGCCGCGACUUUUGUUUUCCUUGAUCCAAGUCCAUGCAACCUUAUCAGUAGUUUCGAUGGUAAAUAAACAUUACAUGGGCAUUCAAAUCCUAUUGUGUGGUCCACUUGGGAUCUGGAUCUGCAUCAUUUUAGGGACCAUGCCUUGAAAUGAUCAGGAAAAACUCAUGGGUGGCAUGGAUAUAUAAUACAACACAUAAAUCAAGGUGGGCCACAUGCACUAAAACAAUGCAAGUGCACAGUGGACCUUCAAUCCUACUGUGCGGUCCACUUGAGAUCUGGAUCUGCUUCAUUUCAGGGACCAUACCUUGAAAUGAUCGGGAAAAACUGAUGGGUGGCAUGGAUAUAUAAUACAAUACAUAAAUCAAGGUGGGCCGCAUGCACUAAAACAGUGCGAGUGCACUAAGCGGCAUGCGCCGCAAACCACUUAAAAAAAAAGGUGCAUGGUUGUUUUAUAGCCACGCCACCCAUUCAUUUUUAGGAGACCAAGAGAGGGAGAGAGAAAUGAGAGGGAAAGA
Molecule: long non-coding RNA, 1069 nt
Organism: Magnolia sinica
Lineage: Eukaryota; Viridiplantae; Streptophyta; Magnoliopsida; Magnoliales; Magnoliaceae
Exons: 2
Source: RefSeq, a predicted model, not a curated record